This 424-nucleotide ribosomal RNA is filed under the name uncultured bacterium. Its description in RNAcentral is "bacterial SSU rRNA". It matches the Rfam family "Bacterial small subunit ribosomal RNA", at positions 28 to 431 of the family's 1533-position model. The record is from RNAcentral.
GACGAACGCUGGCGGCGUGCCUAACACAUGCAAGUCGAGCGGAGAUGUACUGACGGAAAGCUUCGGCUGGAAGAUAGUACAUUUUAGCGGCGGACGGGUGAGUAACGCGUGAGCAACCUUUCCUUCACAGGGGGAUAAGAUACCGAAAGGUGUUCUAAUACCGCAUGAGACCACAGAGCCACAUGGCUCAGGGGUCAGAGGAGGAAUCCGGUGAAGGGUGGGCUCGCGUCCGAUUAGCUAGUUGGUGAGGUGACGGCCCACCAAGGCGACGAUCGGUAGCCGACCUGAGAGGGUGAUCGGCCACAUUGGAACUGAGAGACGGUCCAAACUCCUACGGGAGGCAGCAGUGGGGAAUAUUGGGCAAUGGGGGAAACCCUGACCCAGCAACGCCGCGUGAAGGAAGAAGGUCUUCGGAUCGUAAACU